GAUGAACGCUGGCGGCGUGCCUAAUACAUGCAAGUCGAGCGAACAGACGAGGAUCUUGCUCCUCUGACGUUAGCGGCGGACGGGUGAGUAACACGUGGAUAACCUACCUAUAAGACUGGGAUAACUUCGGGAAACCGGAGCUAAUACCGGAUAAUAUAUUGAACCGCAUGGUUCAAUAGUGAAAGACGGUUUUGCUGUCACUUAUAGAUGGAUCCGCGCCGCAUUAGCUAGUUGGUAAGGUAACGGCUUACCAAGGCAACGAUGCGUAGCCGACCUGAGAGGGUGAUCGGCCACACUGGAACUGAGACACGGUCCAGACUCCUACGGGAGGCAGCAGUAGGGAAUCUUCCGCACUGGGCGAAAGCCUGACGGAGCAACGCCGCGUGAGUGAUGAAGGUCUUCGGAUCGUAAAACUCUGUUAUUAGGGAAGAACAAAUGUGUAAGUAACUAUGCACGUCUUGACGGUACCUAAUCAGAAAGCCACGGCUAACUACGUG
This 497-nucleotide ribosomal RNA is filed under the name uncultured bacterium. Its description in RNAcentral is "partial 16S ribosomal RNA". It matches the Rfam family "Bacterial small subunit ribosomal RNA", at positions 28 to 507 of the family's 1533-position model. The record is from RNAcentral.